Molecule: long non-coding RNA, 391 nt
Filed under: Oreochromis niloticus (Nile tilapia)
Lineage: Eukaryota; Metazoa; Chordata; Actinopteri; Cichliformes; Cichlidae
Description: lncRNA (ENSONIG00000025641.2)
Source: RNAcentral
AUGCGCACAACACAUAAAGUGAAGCAAAGCGCAUCCGGCUGUGAUUUAAUGCUACUCCGUUGUCAUAUUUGCAGGAAAAUAGCUUCGGUGAAGUCUGCUGUCAAGUUACUGGACACGUGGUAUUUGCACAACACUUCUGAAUCCGCAGCUUCGGUGUUUUAAGGCUGUUUCGAUAUGGAGAAGAAGUGGGAAGAGAUUUACGCGUUUAUUUCUGCGGGCUCCUACCCUUCAGGAUAUGACAAGGCUCAGAGGCAAAACCUCAGAAGAUAUGCCUCAAAAUUCCAACAAAAGGGUCAGUAAUUUAUUGUUAAUACUAACAACUCAUAUAUGUGGUUAAAUUAAUUUAUAAAUAUAUAUUGUUCUACUGCAGAUGGAGAACUCUUUGUUGGAA